CUUUUAUAGUUGUAUUUGACCAGGUGGGUGUUUCAUAAAGCUAAGCUUGUUCGUAAGUUAAGAGCGACUUUAAGGAAUUCUGGCGAUCCCUUGUUUUAAGUGUCUCUUUAAUAACUUAUGAACAGCUGAUACGUCCCCCUGGUCAGGUGUGUAUGAAAUUAUCUCCUACCUCAGUCACUAAUACAAGAAUGUAAUCGUCUUUGGGAUGUGUUUCAAAAUGAUGUUAGUGUGACUAAUAAUUCUCCCAGUGAUGCGUGGUGUAAUGUAUUACUGCAUUGUCAGACCAUGUAAUGCUCAUGAGAUACUCACGACUGUGUGUCAGAUGUGAGAGUCUUUGAGUGUCAUGUGCACAUUGGCACUUACAACCCAACUUUAAGACAGACUCACAUUAUAAAUCUUUGUGAAACAAAUUUAGAUGUACAUGUAUAUCUGAGAGAACAGUUGAUAAACAAGGUAAUAUCUUUCUGCCUAUUGUUGAUAUGUUAUUAGAAAUGCAUUUAUAUAUUUACAUGUACACUGAUCAGGAGCAUAUCCAGCAUCAGAUCCUACAAAGCAUUUCAUGGCCCCAAUUGUCUGGGGACAAUAGUGACUAUUAUACUUGUGCAUGGACCCAUUGGCGGAAAUCUGUCCCCAAAGGUAGGGAGGACCAGGAGCUGAAAACUUUGACAAGCAACAAUAAAAAAAUAAAGGUUAUCACCCAAAAUGUAAAGCCUUUUUAGCAAAAAAAUGAAAAAAAAAGUUUUCACUCAAAAUUCACUCGAUUGUGAAUUAUGGUUUUUCUAUUUCAUAAAAGACCAAAAGUAUGGGGGGGGGUUUGAUAUUGUGUUCCCCUACUAUUUUGUGGUAGGGGGGAUGCAUCCCCCUGUCCCCUGGGAUUUCCGCCCAUGCAUGGACCCAUACAUUUCUUUGUCAUAAUUAAUGCUGGUUAUGCUAGUGCUGAUGAUGCAAUAAUUUAGUGUUUGUUCCGUAAUGUUUAGGCAAUAGAUAAACUUUUAGAAAAUUAUUACCGGCAAUUCAUACUACCUGAUACAUGUGCUGAUAUACAUUUAUAUAGAUCUGAAAUAUUGUUAUUUGUUAAUGUUUAACAUGAAUUCACUGAUCAGCUUGAUUUUAAUGUUUGCUUUACAUGUCAGUCUUCUGAUACCCUACUACUAAAAUAUAAACCACAUAGUUUCUUAUUUUAGCUUGUUUCAUGACGUUUAACCAAGUUUUUUCUCCCAGGUUCAUGGGAGAAAAGUGCAUCUUGCCAAAUUGGCAGCAUUGUAAAGCCCAGCUAAAUGAUUUUGUAAUAAAUCAUAUUUUGAAAUAAAUGUGAAGGUUCCAAGAUGUAAACUUAUUUUAUUUGAAGUUUGGCAUCAUGUUAGGAAUAAUAAAAUCAUAAUUUUGCUUUGCAGCAAGCCCUGUGGUCGGAGUAAACCCCAAAUCGACUUCAAGUCACAGCCGAUGAUUACAUCACUGCCAUAUGAAAUUGAAUUUCCUUUUAUUCCUACAGGGUUUGAGGCUCGACUAGACUGAAUUUCGAUAUCAGUAGUCCUUAAUACUAUUCUGAACUCUGAUCGCUAAGAUUAUUUUGGCUUGAAUGUUUUCAUCUCAAAUGUUACUACAAAUUCUUUGAAAUUUGGAUCUCAUUGAAUUACAUAGUGUGCACCGGGCCUAAGGUCCCCCAAUGUUUGUUUGCCAUAAGUGGGGAAACAAUUAAUUAGUAGUUAGUCUAUUUUGCAUCUGUUGAUCUUUGAAUAACAUUAGCCAUGCAGGCGCUCUAUUCUUGUAAAAUGGAGAUCAAAUGGUGAGACCUGCAUGAUUUAACGAUAUAAACAGUGCUUAACUGCUCCAUUUGCAAGAUUCAACAACUUUCUUGACACUUUUCUAUUGGUGGGAUAAAUUUGAAUGAAAAUACAUUGUCAUGCUAGGGUCAGUUGAGUUUUAAAAGCAAACAAAGUUUUUUGUUUGCCGGCCUAUUAUGGUCUGAAAAGACGGAUACUAUUUUUAAAUGAUAUAGUAAUUUCUCAUAAAUUUUAUUAAUUUGAAAUUCAAAAGAAGUUUUCACUUUACUGUAUUACUGACUGGUACUACUACUAAGAUAUAGACAUUUUAUCUUUGCAAUAUAUAACUUUUUUAUGUUAACAUGAAUAAUCCAGGAAUAAAACACAGGGUUUUACACCAAAAUUGGGUCAACAUUGUAUUUAUUCACUUCCAUAUAAUAAUAACUUUUUUCAUGUAAUACAUUAUUUUCAUACAAUCGUAUAUAUAAAACAUACUAAGUCAUGAACAACUGUAAUACAACUGUAUAUACACACAAUAUAAUACCUAUUUUCCUAAUGCAAGUACCUGAAUAUCAUAUGUUAUUAAUAUACUUGUACAUUAUGUACAUAUACUUUGUACAAUUUGGAAUUCUGAGCCCUGCAUUGAAUUUUAUUGGAAAUUUCAAUCCUGAAUCAAAAAUGAGAAUUUAUUCGAAAAAGAUAAUUGGAGGACCAAGUUGGAUAGUUCGUAAAAAUUAGUUGACCACAAUACUUUACAAAUCAUGAAUGUUUAAGAGUGCAAUGGACAGAGUACCGGUGCUUUAUGAGGUGAAAGAUGAAAUGAUCCAUUCAACGAGGCGUAGCCGAGUUGAAUGGAUCAUUCAUUUCAUCUUUCACCAAUUGAAGUAUUCUGUCAAUUGCAUGAAUGAAAAACAUUCGUUAUUUUGUUUAAAUGACACCUAAAAAACAUCAUUGUCAUUUGAUGUAAAAUGUGCUCAUCCAAUGCCAGCUUGUCUAUUGAUUGUUGCGUACCUACAUGCGACGCGCUGCAAACACAAGUGUUUUUACUUGAGGUACCUGGAGUCUUGGUUUGGGGGACAAAAUUGUAUGGAUCCAAAACUGCACGCUGAAUGGAUGAUGACAUUGUAAAAUGGGCAGAAAGAUCGACAUCAAACAACAGAUCAAAUGACAAGGAUCUAUCGAGGUGUAAUAUAAUUGACACUACGCAUUUAUCAGUGUUUUCCUCUCAAAGCUAUUACAAACAAACACUACAGUAUCCAUGGAUACUUCCUCAUGGCUCUUCAUUCUGAUCAGUAUUUAUUUUUCUUUUUUUUUUUCUUUUUUUGCAGCCAAUAAAUAUAUCUUGGGAUAAAUUGGUUGACCCACAGGGACUUCAUGAUAAAUAAAUGUUGGUGACGCAUGCUUCAUGGAACACAGAUCAAUGAGCAUGUGUGUCUCCAGAAUACAGGAGUCACUUGAGCAGAUUCUAAUACUAAAGACAGUUUGGAAUAAAUGAAGUCCUCCAAUAAAACAAUUAACAAUUGACUUAUAGUUAAUCCAAGAGUCAGUCAAAUACAGAAUAUAGACCAAGCACUGAUCAUGUUUUAAGAUCAUAGAUGUUAACCCUUAGCAUGCCACAGACAUAUUUUUGCAAAUUGUGCUUGUACAAUUGAAACAAUUCAUUUUCUCUGCUGGCAAUACAGGCUUUGUAAAACAUUUAUAUUGGCUAGUCACAGUUUGAGUGAAAACAAUCCAGGUACCAUUGCAAGGUGGAUGCCAUGCUUGUACACAAAAGCACAUAAAAAAAGUUGUUUUUCACGGCCUGAUGAUGUUCAGGGAAAAAGGGUAUCAAAAAUUGCCAAAAUCUAUCUUAUGUGUAUAUUUCACAUUAUCAAAAAAUUUGAAAUAUUUCAGGCAUUACUUAGGGUCGGAAAAAUAUGAAAACAUUAUUUCUAAGGUCCAUUAUAAGAGCACAUGCAAGCAUGGUUUCCACCUUAUAAUGACAGUCCCCUUGAAAACAAGACUUAUAACAAAUACACCAUACACUGUGUGACAUAUCAAAUUACCACAAUAUUACAACUAUAUUAUAAUAUUCAUUUUCCCGAUGUAAACAACAAAGCACAUGAACUUAGCCCCUACUGUUAAUACAGUAACAUCAGGCCUGGGUUCAAAUUUGAGGUGUGAAAAUAACGACUAAUGAGGCUAAUAUUAGAGGUCUGAAAGACAAUAACAGAGAAUCUAUGGUUAAGCCUUAGUAAAGCAGUUUAGUCUGGGCUAUUAAAGCUUUGUGCGGGACUAAAAAUGAAGCGUGCAAAGAAUAUCACACAGGCUUGAAUGUAUUGCAAUAACAGGGUCUGAAUGCAUAGGUUAUACAUGUACAAUAGAGGUAUGUUCAUGGAAAUCAUAAAAAUCCUGAUUAUUGACUUUUGAGCAAUUCCAUAAUAUAACCUACUUUAUUGUACAUUUCCUAGUCCAAGAACAAUGUUCUACCGACAUAGGAAUACGUAAUUAAAAAAAAUUAACUAAACUUUUGCAUAUCCACUGACAAGGUCAGUGUUGAAAAUGGAGCAACACUAACACCAACGACUAACACCAUACUUAGACUAGAGCUAGGACUGCUUUAGCUUGAGGGUACAUGUAGGAUAAACAACUCAAUUCAGCUCUCAACACAAACACUGACUGAUACUACUCAAAAUGAGACAGGUGCUAUGACUAACAUUCAGUGUUAAUAUAUCAAUAUCUCAAUUGGUGUUAUUCAGUAAACCAAACAGAAGGUGUUGAAACUAGAUUCACCAGGUUAUUAAUUUAUCAACAUCAAUACAAUAACACCAUAAAAUACAUCGUUCACAAGACCGCAGGGUGAUUCCUAGAGAACAAGAGUGUUGUGGCUCAGUAGAUAAGUCUCAAGACUUUGAACCACAAGGUCUGGGGUUCAAAUCCCACCACGGUACUCGCAUCCUUUGACGAGGCGUUUAUCUACAUUUACUCUACCACUCUCCACCCCCAAGUGUAGAAAAUGGGUACCCGAUAGUAAGGAAUUCCUUGAAUGCUCAAACAUCCAAUCAGGAUAGCUGUGCUAAAGCUGGGUAAUAGUAUGCAGCGCUUAGAAACAUUUGUAUUACACGCUAUAUAAAUGUGCAUAUUAUCAUUUAUUAUUAUUAUUCAAUCAAUAAGAGGCUUGUCAGAGAUUUUCACUGAAUAGUUAAAUUUCAGCCAAUACGAUGCAAGGAUUUCACUAGCUUAUAACAAGUAGUCAGGGAUUUUUGUCUUGUCCGGUAUUGCAACACUGCCCACAUUAAUAUUCAUCUUCCACAGAGAACUUACUGAGGAGAUCUCAAUUUCACACAAUCCAAUGAAAUGAAUCAAUGUAUGGAUCAGGGAGAUCAGUGAAUUUCCAGGGAGUCUCCCCAACGAUCAGGAAAACCUGGCAGCCCUAGUGGGUGUUUGAUAAAGCUGUUCGUAAGUUAGGAGCGACUUUAAGAACGACUGGUGAUCCCUUCUUUUAGUAAAUGGUAUAUACAUUGGCGAUUGUCUAGCGUGUAAGAAAGUAUCACCAUUCGUUCUUGAAGUAGCUCUUAACUUACGAACAGCUUUAUGAAACGGCACCCAUGACUUGCUGAACCUGGUGGGAGUUUCAUAAAGCUGUUAGUAAGUUAAGAGCGAAUUUAGGGAUAACUGGUGAAUCUUUCUUAUACACUAUAUAAUCACCAAUGAACAUUAAUGGUGAAUAUCAUUUACCACAAGAAAGGUUCACCAGUCUUCUUAAAGUCAUUCAUGACCUGAAUAGGUAGCCUAGCUUAGCCAGGGAAAUAAUAGCAGAGCCCGCUGGGAGAACAGUUUUCAGAAAUGAAGUGGCUACCCUGGGUUAAGAACAGCAUUUUAAAACAGCCCCCUGCUGUAUUUUAGCUUGAUGUUAGAACCUAGGUUCACCAGCUAGAUUUAAGCUCUCAACACCUAAACCACCAUACUUGGCAUCACUCAUAUGACUGCGGGAU
RNAcentral lists this long non-coding RNA (5737 nucleotides) under Lytechinus variegatus (green sea urchin). RNAcentral's name for it is "uncharacterized LOC121430664". The record is from RNAcentral. Lineage: Eukaryota; Metazoa; Echinodermata; Echinoidea; Temnopleuroida; Toxopneustidae.